This 253-nucleotide ribosomal RNA is filed under the name uncultured bacterium. RNAcentral's name for it is "partial 16S ribosomal RNA". It matches the Rfam family "Bacterial small subunit ribosomal RNA", at positions 524 to 776 of the family's 1533-position model. The record is from RNAcentral.
UACAGAGGUCUCAAGCGUUGUUCGGAUUCAUUGGGCGUAAAGGGUGCGUAGGUGGCGCCGUAAGUCGGGUGUGAAAUCCUGAGGCUUAACCUCGGAACUGCAUUCGAUACUGGCGUGCUUGAGGACUGGAGAGGAGACUGGAAUUCAUGGUGUAGCAGUGAAAUGCGUAGAGAUCAUGAGGAAGACCAGUGGCGAAGGCGGGUCUCUGGACAGUUCCUGACACUGAGACACGAAGGCCAGGGGAGCAAACGGG